Long non-coding RNA from Lemur catta (Ring-tailed lemur), 458 nucleotides. RefSeq lists it as uncharacterized. The transcript has 3 exons. Lineage: Eukaryota; Metazoa; Chordata; Mammalia; Primates; Lemuridae. The record is from RefSeq and is a predicted model, not a curated record.
CUCCUGGCCUGAUUUGUUCAAAUAUUGAGUGGAGAUUCCUUCAUCUCAUGGAAAGGGGCUCUAGCUUCUGAUCUAUACUGGUCAUUUGAUCAGUUCUGGCCAGUGAGAUACAAGACGAAGUCUGAUGGGGCUCCUGGGAAAGAUUUUCAUCCCUGCAGGCUUGGAAAAGCUAGAUGUGUACUCUCCCAGUCACCCUUGCAGACAGGAGUUGACUGUGUGAUCCAGUCCUGGCCAAUGAGAAAUAAACUGAAGGUCCAAUGCCUCACUCCUGAUGGGUCCCAUCAUGUACCCAAGUGGGAAGUCCUCCUGGUUCACUUUGACUAGAAUACACUUCUGUCUCUUGCCAGCAUGGAGGAGGGAUGGUGUUUUGGGCUGAAUUGUAUCUCCACAAAUUCCAAUGAUGAAGUUCCUAAACCCCUAGUACCUCAGAAUAUGUAUUUGGAGUAUUUGUAUUUGGA